UACGUAGGGGGCGAGCGUUGUCCGGAUUUAUUGGGCGUAAAGAGCGUGUAGGCGGCCAGGUAGGUCUGCUGUGAAAACUCGAGGCUCAACCUCGAGACGUCGGCGGAAACCAUCUGGCUAGAGUCCGGAAGAGGAGAGUGGAAUUCCAGGUGUAGCGGUGAAAUGCGUAGAUAUCUGGAGGAACACCGGUGGCGAAGGCGGCGUUCUGGACUGUCUCUGACACUGAAGAACGAAAGCCAGGGGAGCAAACGGG
RNAcentral lists this ribosomal RNA (253 nucleotides) under uncultured bacterium. RNAcentral's name for it is "partial 16S ribosomal RNA". It matches the Rfam family "Bacterial small subunit ribosomal RNA", at positions 524 to 776 of the family's 1533-position model. The record is from RNAcentral.